RNAcentral lists this ribosomal RNA (301 nucleotides) under uncultured bacterium. RNAcentral describes it as "partial 16S ribosomal RNA". It matches the Rfam family "Bacterial small subunit ribosomal RNA", at positions 509 to 807 of the family's 1533-position model. The record is from RNAcentral.
CAGCAGCCGCGGUAAUACGUAGGGUGCAAGCGUUGUCCGGAAUUAUUGGGCGUAAAGAGCUCGUAGGCGGUUUGUCGCGUCUGCUGUGAAAUCCCGAGGCUCAACCUCGGGCUUGCAGUGGGUACGGGCAGACUAGAGUGCGGUAGGGGAGAUUGGAAUUCCUGGUGUAGCGGUGGAAUGCGCAGAUAUCAGGAGGAACACCGAUGGCGAAGGCAGAUCUCUGGGCCGUAACUGACGCUGAGGAGCGAAAGCGUGGGGAGCGAACAGGAUUAGAUACCCGUGUAGUCCCUGUCUCUUAUAC